This 208-nucleotide ribosomal RNA is filed under the name uncultured delta proteobacterium. RNAcentral's name for it is "partial 16S ribosomal RNA". It matches the Rfam family "Bacterial small subunit ribosomal RNA", at positions 568 to 775 of the family's 1533-position model. Lineage: Bacteria; Deltaproteobacteria. The record is from RNAcentral.
CGUGUAGGCGGCAUAGCAAGUCGGGUGUGAAAGCCCUCAGCUUAACUGAGGAAGUGCGCCCGAAACUGCUGUGCUUGAGUGCCGGAGAGGAUGGCGGAAUUCCCCAAGUAGAGGUGAAAUUCGUAGAUAUGGGGAGGAACACCGGUGGCGUAGGCGGCCAUCUGGACGGUAACUGACGCUGAGACGCGAAAGCGUGGGUAGCAAACAG